This 316-nucleotide ribosomal RNA is filed under the name uncultured bacterium. Its description in RNAcentral is "bacterial SSU rRNA". It matches the Rfam family "Bacterial small subunit ribosomal RNA", at positions 162 to 507 of the family's 1533-position model. The record is from RNAcentral.
UCUAAUACCUUAUAGUAUCCAUCUCGUAUGGAUUAAAGCUUUAUGCGCUUUGGAGGGGCCUGCGUUUGAUUAGCUAGUUGGUGAGGUAAAAGCUCACCAAGGCGACGAUCAAUAGCUGGUUUGAGAGGAUGACCAGCCACACUGGGACUGAGAUACGGCCCAGACUCCUACGGGAGGCAGCAGUAAGGAAUCUUCCACAAUGGGGCAACCUGAUGGAGCAAUACCGCGUGCAGGAUGAAGCGUUUCGGCGUGUAAACUGCUUUUAUCACCGAAGAUUAUGACUGUAGGUGAAGAAUAAGGACCGGCUAACUACGUG